Molecule: unclassified non-coding RNA, 251 nt
Filed under: plant metagenome
Description: partial contains small subunit ribosomal RNA, internal transcribed spacer 1, and 5.8S ribosomal RNA
Rfam family: Eukaryotic small subunit ribosomal RNA (bases 1-54)
Source: RNAcentral
GGAAGUAAAAGUCGUAAUAAGGUCUCCGUAGGUGAACCUGCGGAGGGAUCAUUACAGAGUUCAUGCCCUACCGGGUAGAUCUCCCACCCUAUGUUAUUAUUACUUUGUUGCUUUGGCGGGCCGUUAGGCUCCGGCCCGACUACCGGCCCCGGCUGGUAAGCGCCCGCCAGAGGACCCAAAACCCUGAAUAUUAGUGUCGUCUGAGUACUAUAUAAUAGUUAAAACUUUCAACAACGGAUCUCUUGGUUCUG